Molecule: long non-coding RNA, 991 nt
Filed under: Homo sapiens (human)
Lineage: Eukaryota; Metazoa; Chordata; Mammalia; Primates; Hominidae
Description: HSALNT0366897
Source: RNAcentral
CAAAAACAUGAAAACUAGCCUUCGGUAAUGAUGGAACUGAUAGAUUAGAGAAAAUCCACUUUAUUUAUUGACUUCUCUUUUCUUCCUACUCCAUUACCUCCAGGACAAUAAGUUCUGCAGUGAAAUUAUUAUGUAAAAAAUUGCAGACAGACAGAGUAAAGCUUGACUGGAAGGUGGAGCAUAAAGAUAGCACUUUUACCUUCUCCCUCAAACUCAUUGCUUUUCUCAUUGUCAUUACAUGGAUAAGGAGUUCUAAAAGUAAAGCAAGAGGCAAGAUAUUUAUUCAUUAAUUUUCUGUUCAUUAAUCAUCUUCUAUUGUGAUGGGGGCCCUGGAAAUACAGAAUGAAUAAAGCAAAAUUAUAACCUAGGAGGAUUUUUAGUCUAACGAGAAAUGGAAAUAUGAACAAAUGUAUACACUCAAAAGUACUAAGUGAUAUACCAAAUAUUUAAGCAAACAGCUGUGGCUGCUCAGUGCAGGGAGCUACUCAUUCUCUCCAGGAAAAGUGAGGAAGGCUUCAUAAUAGCCAUAUGGAACUUGUCGUGAGAAUGGGGGUUUUCAAUGAAAGAAAAGUCAUUUUAAGCAAAGAAUACCUUGCUGUGGUUUGAAUGUGUCUUCCAAUAAGUUCCUGUGUUGGAAGCUUAAUCUCCAAUGCAACAGUGGUAUGAAAUGGGCUCUAAUAAGAGUUGAUUGGACCUUUCCUAAUAAGAGAUGAUUGGAUAAAUGGAUUAAUGUUGUUGUCAUGUGAGCAGGUUAGUUAUUGUGAGAGUGUGUCAUUGUAAAGAGAAUCUGAUCACUGGAGCCUCUCUCUGUCUUGUGUACCAACUUCUCUUCCACCAUGCUAUGGUAUAGCAUAAAGGCCCUCACCAGAUGCUGGAGCCAUGCUCUUGGACUUCCCAUCCUCCAGAAUUGUGAGAAAUAAAUUUAUUUUCUUUACAGAUUACGCAGUCUGUGAUACUCUGUUAUUGCAACAGAAAACAGACUAAGACACAG